This 303-nucleotide ribosomal RNA is filed under the name uncultured bacterium. RNAcentral's name for it is "partial 16S ribosomal RNA". It matches the Rfam family "Bacterial small subunit ribosomal RNA", at positions 507 to 807 of the family's 1533-position model. The record is from RNAcentral.
AGCAGUCGCCACGGUAAUACGUAGGUGGCAAGCGUUGUCCGGAAUUAUUGGGCGUAAAGGGCUCGCAGGCGGUUUCUUAAGUCUGAUGUGAAAGCCACCGGCUCAACCGGGGAGGGUCAUUGGAAACUGGGAAACUUGAGUGCAGAAGAGGAGAGUGGAAUUCCACGUGUAGCGGUGAAAUGCGUAGAGAUGUGGAGGAACACCAGUGGCGAAGGCGACUCUCUGGUCUGUAACUGACGCUGAGGAGCGAAAGCGUGGGGAGCGAACAGGAUUAGAUACCCCGGUAGUCCCUGUUUCUUAUAC